RNAcentral lists this transfer RNA (76 nucleotides) under Acidobacteriota bacterium. Its description in RNAcentral is "Acidobacteria bacterium tRNA-Met". It matches the Rfam family "tRNA". From Rfam's summary of the family: Transfer RNA (tRNA) molecules are approximately 80 nucleotides in length. Their secondary structure includes four short double-helical elements and three loops (D, anti-codon, and T loops). Lineage: Bacteria; Pseudomonadati; Acidobacteriota. The record is from RNAcentral.
GGCUCUCUAGCUCACAAGGCAGAGCGCUCCGCUCAUAACGGAGAGGGGCUUGGUUCGAUUCCAAGGAGAGCCACCG